Molecule: ribosomal RNA, 402 nt
Filed under: bacterium
Lineage: Bacteria
Description: partial 16S ribosomal RNA
Rfam family: Bacterial small subunit ribosomal RNA
Source: RNAcentral
UGGGGAAUUUUGCACAAUGGGGGAAACCCUGAUGCAGCGACGCCGCGUGAUUUAGAAGGCCUUCGGGUUGUAAAAAUCUUUUCUAUGGGAAGAAAAUGACAGUACCAUAGGAAUAAGGACCGGCUAAUUACGUGCCAGCAGCCGCGGUAAUACGUAAGGUCCGAGCGUUGUCCGGAAUCAUUGGGCGUAAAGGGUACGUAGGCGGGUAAGCAAGUUAGAAGUGAAAUCCUAUAGCUCAACUAUAGUAAGCUUUUAAAACUGCUCAUCUUGAGGUAUAGAAGAGAAGUUGGAAUUCCUAGUGUAGCGGUGAAAUGCUCAGAUAUUAGGAGGAAGACCGGUGGCGAAGGCGACUUUCUGGCCAUAACCUGACGCUGAGGUACGAAAGCGUGGGUAGCAAACAGG